Triplophysa dalaica is the source of this 2847-nucleotide RNA transcript. It is a transcript of the gene named peroxisomal biogenesis factor 2, with no coding region annotated. The transcript has 3 exons. NCBI's taxonomy places the organism in Eukaryota, Metazoa, Chordata, Actinopteri, Cypriniformes, Nemacheilidae. The record is from RefSeq and is a predicted model, not a curated record.
CCGGAAGCGACGGAGGAACCAUAAACUGUCAUGGCUGGAGCUGGAGGUGACAAGCCAUCCGCCGGCCCAAGCCCUUUAUCUCGGGUUUUGAGAAUCAGUCAGCUGGAUGCUUUUGAACUGGAUGGCGCACUGGAACAGCUCGUUUGGUCACAGUUCACCCAAUGUUUCCAGCAUUUCAAGCCCGGGCUCCUAACCCCCGUGGAACCAGAACUGAAGGCCCUGCUGCAGCUUCUCCUCUGGAGGUUCACCGUCUACUCCAACAGCGCCACCGUGGGCCAAUCGCUGCUCAAUAUACGAUACAAGGAUGCUCGUGUGCCGGGUCAUAAAUACAGGCCCAUGAGCCGGCAGAAGAAGCUUUGGUUUGCUUUGCUCACUGUUGGUGAAAAAUGGUUGAAGGAACGUUCCCAUAGCUUGUUUCUUAACCACCCUGCGGAGUCCAGCAUCCACAAAGCGCGCAAAAUGCUGUCUGUUGUAAUGGGGCUCACCAAAGCGGCCAGCUUGGUCAACUUUCUUUUGUUCCUUCAGAGAGGAACCUUUCCUACCCUAACAGAAAGAUUGCUGGGAGUGCAGCCUGUAUUCAUCCGACCCCAAGGACCAAGGGACGUCAAUUUCCAAUUUCUGAACCGGGAGAUUUUGUGGCACGGGUUUGCAGAGUUCCUCAUUUUCCUGCUGCCUUUUGUCAACGUGUGGAAGUUGAAGGUCUACAUGUCCACCAUGUUCUCGCCUCUGAAUGAGUCGAAGGGACGUACAGAGAUCAACUACUGCACGGAGUGUGCCAUCUGCAGGGAGUGGCCCACAAUGCCUCACUCCAUCGGCUGCAACCACGUGUUCUGCUACUAUUGCCUUAAGAGCCACACCAUCGCCGACAUCUCCUUCACCUGCCCUAAAUGUGGUGCGGAUGCGGCAACGAUGGAGCCGGUCGGGCUUCAGAUAGAGAUGACUGAGUUGCAUCAGAGUUGAGUUCCCAAAGGAUCGCCUUGGAUUGACUUGAUCUCGAGAUCUUCCGCCGUAUGUGUGUUUCAAGUCGAACAUUUGAGUCGAUCACAGAGAUUGCUUGAUGAAAGCGUACAUCCCGUGCCUUUUUUCCAAACGAGAGUAUUUGUUGCCAUGAAAUAUGCAGGGUUUUGUACAAAGACUGACUGGAGACAAACUUAAUGAUGUAAAAUUCUCAAACAACAUCAUUUGUGUCGCUAAUUUAUUCAUCCUCAUUAAAGUUGGAUGAAAACCGCCUAUCAGAGGUCCACUUUUCUGCGUUCUCAGAUGGAACGCCGAGCAAAUGAAUAAACAUCAAAACAACCCUUUGCUCAACUGCCUGCACGAUCCAAUUCCCCUCAUCCCCUAUGAAGUGAAAAAUUUGCACAAGAUCAAGGAGAGGCCGUGAUAGCACCAGGGGGGUAGUUGGGUUGGAUGCAGAUUGACAGACGUUCCAUUAUAAUCUCCUUGGCCUUCUUAAUACGCCAGUAAACUGUAACAAACCCAAGUAGGACCAAUGCACAUUUCAGGCAUAUUAUGCUCUAAGCUUCAUAAUGACGGCAAAGAUGGGUAUUUAUUCUAAUGUUAACCCUCUCCAGUGAGCCAUGCCUCGGGCCAAACACAUCCAAAUGUGCUCAGGCCUGCUGGAAUCUCUCACUUCAUUUUCUUCUUUUUGACCACAUUGACUUAAUUGCCCAUUGUGAAGGCAAUCAGUCACUUCUUGGGGUCCUGUGGUUUUCUAUAUUUUGUAAUCGCUUUAAUAAUGUGUGCUGUCCAAAAGACAAAUUUUUGGAACGUGGCACGCUACUCUGCCGUCGUGUGCGUUCAUUGAUGUUAUGCGUACAGUCGAAUACACAGGACCACCAAGAAGUCUAGUUCUCACUCUACUAUCCAAGUUUACUCAUGCACUUGGUUCAAAAGAGAUUUAAUGUGAAACAGAAUAGAUUUGUAAGCUUUGUUUUGUUUCACAGGAUUAAAGGAAUUAGCCGCCACUGUUCUGGAAAUGUCCUCCAGUAACGGUCGCACAUUUACAAUAUGCACGACAUAUGGUUCUGUUUCUUUAGGCAGGUCCACGAAUAAAUCCGAGAGCGAGUUUAUUUCGGUUUGGACAUUACUUUUAAGAUCAAAAGUACAUGCACAAUGCUGAAGUCUUUGCCUAAUUUUUGGAUUUGCUUUCUGUGUGCAUUUCACAAAGCUAUAUAAAGCUGUGGCUUUUUUUGUUGUUUUGUGUUUGUUUUUAAAUAAACAGUAAAAUCAAUGUUUAAAACAGUUUCCUUUUCCUGAUGCACAACAGUAAGCUUAUAAUAAUGGUUGAUAAUGGAUCAUUUUAGCCCAUGUAAGUAUCCCGCAAUUUUGUUUUAGGUUGAGAUGGUGAUAGAGGGGCAAAGAUCAUGGAUUGCAGCUAUAAAAAUAGACACAUCGUAAUGCAGUGUUGGUGAAGUACCACGCUUCUCCUCAGACCCGGUAGCUGAGCAAGAUGGAGUGCAACAAUUACUCGACAUCCUCUCGUUGACACCAGGUAGUCCUGACCAUGAAUAUUUGAAUAUGGCAACAACAGAGCUGAAGAAGGAACCGGGCGUGUUUUUCAGAACUACCGAGUUGAGCGGAAAUAUAAAGCAAAACUCUCAAGAGAUGCACUGGUCCUUCGUGAUGGUUAAAUGUAUUCAAUGUCAGCCACUGACAUGACUCUUGAAUUAUUAUCAGAAAUGUAAAAUGUCAUCGUCCCUCUAUCUAGAUAUCUAAUGUUAAUGUUAUCCUUAAAAGAAAAACAAAUAAAAAAACAGUACUCUCUAAGUUCACUAAUAUUCUUAUUAUAAAAAUGCAUUAUUGGAUGUACAUGUACAUCUCUUAAUCUAUAUCUACAAAACUAUAAAC